RNAcentral lists this small RNA (125 nucleotides) under Marmota monax (woodchuck). Lineage: Eukaryota; Metazoa; Chordata; Mammalia; Rodentia; Sciuridae. The record is from RNAcentral.
GCCGGGUAUGGUGGUGCACACCUGUAAUCCCAGAAGCUUGGCAGGCUGAGGCAGGAAGAUUGAGAGUUCAGAGCCAGCUUCAAUAAAAGCAAGGUGCUAAACAACUCAGUGAGACCCUGUCUCUA